GUCAGGAUGGCUGAGUGUCCAAGGCGCUGCGUUCAGGUCGCAGUCCGGUCUUCCGGGCGUGGGUUUGAAUCCCACUUCUGACA
This 83-nucleotide transfer RNA is filed under the name Rhipicephalus microplus (southern cattle tick). RNAcentral's name for it is "tRNA-Leu". It matches the Rfam family "tRNA". Rfam says of the family: Transfer RNA (tRNA) molecules are approximately 80 nucleotides in length. Their secondary structure includes four short double-helical elements and three loops (D, anti-codon, and T loops). Lineage: Eukaryota; Metazoa; Arthropoda; Arachnida; Ixodida; Ixodidae. The record is from Rfam by way of RNAcentral.